ACGGCCCACAGUACCCCUGACUGUGCAAAGGUAGCAUMMUACAYUUGCCACUUAAUUAGUGGCUGGAAUGAAGGAAUAAAUGGAAAGCCCCUUUAUUAUUCUUGAUAGUAUAAAUUAGUACUCAGACGAACAACCCUGAAUACCCCUGAAAGACAAAAAGACCCUACUGAACUUAAAGAAAUCCGUUACCAUUAACCCAUAAUCUUUUAGCUGGGAAGGCUUAAGAGCACCCUCAACCUCUUAGUACCCAUCAGACCCUGAGUCCCUCUACUGACCCACCAAUUGUUCACCAAAUAUAAGUUACCAUAGGGAUAACAGGCUAAUACUUCUCGAAAGUCCACAUUAACAGAAGUGAUUGGCACCUCGAUGUUGGCUUAGGAAUACUCUAUAUCGCAGCCGAUAUAAAUAGUUGG
RNAcentral lists this ribosomal RNA (413 nucleotides) under Sabellastarte sp. WA1. RNAcentral's name for it is "partial 16S ribosomal RNA". It matches the Rfam family "Bacterial large subunit ribosomal RNA", at positions 1926 to 2575 of the family's 2925-position model. The record is from RNAcentral. Lineage: Eukaryota; Metazoa; Annelida; Polychaeta; Sabellida; Sabellidae.